RNAcentral lists this ribosomal RNA (460 nucleotides) under uncultured bacterium. RNAcentral's name for it is "partial 16S ribosomal RNA". It matches the Rfam family "Bacterial small subunit ribosomal RNA", at positions 338 to 795 of the family's 1533-position model. The record is from RNAcentral.
CCUACGGGAGGCAGCAGUGAGGAAUAUUGGUCAAUGGACGAGAGUCUGAACCAGCCAAGUCGCGUGAGGGAUGACUGCCCUAUGGGUUGUAAACCUCUUUUAUAUGGGAAUAAAAUGUUCGACGUGUGGCGUUUUGUAUGUACCUUAUGAAUAAGGAUCGGCUAACUCCGUGCCAGCAGCCGCGGUAAUACGGAGGAUCCGAGCGUUAUCCGGAUUUAUUGGGUUUAAAGGGAGCGUAGGUGGACUGUUAAGUCAGUUGUGAAAGUUUGCGGCUCAACCGUAAAAUUGCAGUUGAAACUGGCAGUCUUGAGUAUAGUAGAGGUGGGCGGAAUUCGUGGUGUAGCGGUGAAAUGCUUAGAUAUCACGAAGAACCCCGAUUGCGAAGGCAGCUCACCGAACUGCAACUGACACGGAGGAUCGAAAGUGUGGGUAUCAAACAGGAUUAGAUACCCUAGUAGUC